GUGAGCCAUGGGGAACUGCACCAGUGGAUCAAACACAGGCAGAGGAGGCACAUUGAGGAGAAUGUGCUGAAGCACCGGAAGGAGUACGACCAGAACAAGGAUGGGAAGAUCGGCUGGGAGGAAUACAAAAACACCACCUACGGCUACUACCUGGUUACGACAAGGGAGGGUAGCCUAACUUUGAGGCAAAUGAGCGAGGGGGUUGUGAUUUUAAAAAGAUGACAAGGCGAGCUACAAGGCCAUGCUGACUAGAGACGAGAGGCUCUUUAGGACAGCUGACCGCGACGGGGACGGCAUCGCCACCAAGGUCUAGUUCACCGCCUUCCUUCACCCUGAGGAGUACGACCACAUGAAGACCGUUGUCAUACAGGAAACAGUAGAAGACAUUGACAAGAACGGUGAUAGAAAGAUCACCUUUGACGAAUACAUUGGCUCGUCUCUCCUUCAACCGACUACCGUCUUCCGUGGUCCUUCUGUAGCUCAGUUGGUAGAGCAUGGCGCUUGUAACGCCAGGGUAGUGGGUUCGAUUCCCGGGACCACCCAUACGUAGAAUGUAUGCACACAUGACUGUAAGUCGCUUUGGAUAAAAGCGUCUGCUAAAUGGCAUAUAUUAUUAUUAUUAUAUUAUUAUAUAUUAUAGAUAAAAUGCAAUAUGUCA
Oncorhynchus keta (chum salmon) is the source of this 658-nucleotide long non-coding RNA. RefSeq lists it as uncharacterized. The record is from RefSeq and is a predicted model, not a curated record. NCBI's taxonomy places the organism in Eukaryota, Metazoa, Chordata, Actinopteri, Salmoniformes, Salmonidae. The transcript has 3 exons.